UUUGCUGGAAAAUUUAAAAAGUAGGUCCUGGCCGGGUUCGAACCGGCGACCUUCUGCGUGUGAAGCAGACGUGAUAACCACUACACCACAGGACCACACGUUUUGACGUUUUGGCAGCAGUUAAAAAAGUUUGUUUGC
Caenorhabditis elegans is the source of this 138-nucleotide non-coding RNA. The record is from Ensembl. NCBI's taxonomy places the organism in Eukaryota, Metazoa, Nematoda, Chromadorea, Rhabditida, Rhabditidae.